RNAcentral lists this ribosomal RNA (250 nucleotides) under uncultured bacterium. RNAcentral's name for it is "partial 16S ribosomal RNA". It matches the Rfam family "Bacterial small subunit ribosomal RNA", at positions 524 to 772 of the family's 1533-position model. The record is from RNAcentral.
UACGUAGGGUGCGAGCGUUAUCCGGAGUUACUGGGCGUAAAGCGUUUCGUCGGCGGAAGUGUAAGUGUAGGGUUUAAACCUGGGGCUCAACCCCAGAUCGGCUCUGCAUACUGCAUUUCUUGAGGGUGUUAGAGGAAGUUAGAAUUCUCGGUGGAGGGGUGAAAUCCGUAGAUAUCGAGAGGAAUGCCAAGGGUGAAGACAGACUUCUGGGACACAUCUGACGCUCAUGAACGACAGCUUGGGGAGCAAA